This 534-nucleotide long non-coding RNA is filed under the name Durio zibethinus. RNAcentral describes it as "long non-coding RNA (DZIB_LNC000144)". Lineage: Eukaryota; Viridiplantae; Streptophyta; Magnoliopsida; Malvales; Malvaceae. The record is from RNAcentral.
GGCAGUAUUGUGUGGAGGUUUUGGUGGUUUGAAGGUGAUCAAUGAUGACAAUUCUGAACAUUUGUUGAAACUAUUUGACGGUUUGUGUCUUAUAGGCAACUGUUUAAUUAAGAUUUGGUGAUGGUGGUAGGAUCGAUUUGAGCCAAUUUGUUUAAUCGGUCUCGAUUGAAGUAAUGAAUUAUGGUGAAUAGUUUCUAUGAUUGUUGAUUAAGGCUGGGUCUUUGAUUGUGUUUGUUUCUCUUCUUGGAUAGUUGCUAAAAUUGGUGGGUAUGGGUAAUAUGGUGUGGUUUUGCUGAGUUGUGGAUGGCAGUGAGGUGAUGACAUGGUGUUCAAGGAAAGAUGGCAGAAUGGUAGUGAGGUGAUGAAGUGGUGCUCAUGCAAAAGUGGUAGAAUGGUAGUGGCGAAUGAAAAUUUGGAUGGUAGUGCCAAUGUGUUUGUACUUGGAUGGUUGCUUGACCCCUUUUUCUGCUUACUCUCUAUGUUUUCUGGUGAUUUCUCUAUUCUUUUUCCGUGUCCUUGGAAGUGAAUUGCAAG